CACGUAGGGCGCAAGCGUUGUCCGGAAUUAUUGGGCGUAAAGAGCUCGUAGGCGGUCUGUUGCGUCCGCUGUGAAAACUCGGGGCUUAACCCCGAGCCUGCAGUGGAUACGGGCAGACUAGAGGUAGGUAGGGGAGAAUGGAAUUCCCGGUGUAGCGGUGAAAUGCGUAGAUAUCUGGAGGAAUACCGGUGGCGAAGGCGGCAUCCUGGACCGACAUUGACGCUGAUGAGCGAAAGCUAGGGGAGCAAACGGG
RNAcentral lists this ribosomal RNA (253 nucleotides) under uncultured bacterium. RNAcentral describes it as "partial 16S ribosomal RNA". It matches the Rfam family "Bacterial small subunit ribosomal RNA", at positions 524 to 776 of the family's 1533-position model. The record is from RNAcentral.